UACGAUGGGUGCAAGCGUUACUCGGAAUUAUUGGGCGUAAAGAGCUUGUAGGCGGUCUGUCGCGUCUGCUGUGAAAAUCCGGGGCUCAACCCCGGACUUGCAGUGGGUACGGGCAGACUAGAGUGUGGUAGGGGAGACUGGAAUUCCUGGUGUAGCGGUGAAAUGCGCAGAUAUCAGGAGGAACACCGAUGGCGAAGGCAGGUCUCUGGGCCACUACUGACGCUGAGAAGCGAAAGCAUGGGGAGCGAACAGG
This 253-nucleotide ribosomal RNA is filed under the name uncultured bacterium. Its description in RNAcentral is "partial 16S ribosomal RNA". It matches the Rfam family "Bacterial small subunit ribosomal RNA", at positions 524 to 776 of the family's 1533-position model. The record is from RNAcentral.